UAUAAGUGCAGUUGUGGGUUUCGUAUCCAACGUUUGACCAUCCGUCUUAUUUGAAAAAAAUUAUGGUUGGUAUUUUUAUUGUUAUUAGAUAAUAAAACAUGAAUAGUACUUUAUGUGUGACUAUUUUUUUUAAUUUUUUCAUAAAAUUUUCAAAUAAAAUGAAUAGUUAAACGUUGAACAUGGAAACCUAUAACUGUACUUAUA
Oryza punctata is the source of this 204-nucleotide non-coding RNA. NCBI's taxonomy places the organism in Eukaryota, Viridiplantae, Streptophyta, Magnoliopsida, Poales, Poaceae. The record is from Rfam.